AGUUUGUAUCUUUUGACAGAUACGCGUAUUUCGAACUCAACUGUAAGGUCGAAAUACGCGUAUCUGUCAAAAGAUACAAACUA
This 83-nucleotide microRNA precursor is filed under the name Aedes aegypti (yellow fever mosquito). Its description in RNAcentral is "pre miRNA AAEL028801". The record is from RNAcentral. Lineage: Eukaryota; Metazoa; Arthropoda; Insecta; Diptera; Culicidae.